GAAUACAUGCUAUUGGAUAAUUUUGAUAAGACUGUCUGUCUAUUUUAUGCAAAUAAGGAUCUUACAAAUUCUUAGAAACAGACAGAGUGAUUUUAAUUGAAUUGGUUAAUGAACACAUAUAGGAAUUGUAAGAUUCCAUUGACAAUUUGGUCCUUCGAGCGGAUUUCCAAAAAUCUGUCCCUGUCGUCAGAAGAAUUGACCCGUAAAUUAAAGACCUGGCCCCUGGAUUGGGUUUCAAAGAACAGGCUGAUAUAAUAUCUAAGGCCGACAGAGUGUUGUGGAAUAAUCAGAAUUGGUUGGUAACAUAGAGGAAAUUUCCACGACAAGAGACGGUGACGGAAUUUCACGAACAUUGCUUUUCCCAGUCUACAAGACGACGUACGGAAGUCAACCUCAGUUCCCGAUGACAUAAGGACUGGUGUCCAUACAUUUAAAAGGGCUCAUUUCAACGUGGAGGUGACGUUCACCACGCUGGAAGGAUGAAUUUCGACUAGACCUGCUAGAAUACAGCACGAGCUGAGUAUGGCAACUUGGUAUGAACUUUGAAAUCUUAUUCACUAAAGAAGAAGAUACAUCCUAGACGUUGAGUUAUCAGCUGCAGCUGUAAACGUACGUGACCUAGGAAAGGACAGACAAUCUCCUGAGAAUGACAGGGAAUUCAACGUAUCCACUCUACAACACUAUGACCAGAUUGAAGACUCUAAGGACAAUGGUGAUCUCUGCUGGGUAAACCAGUCUUCCAUCUUCGACCCAUUUAUCGAAGCACAGCUCAGUGUAAAUUGUAAAAGUUAAAACGUCAAAUGGAUCUCCCUCCUGGUCCUCUUCCCCUGUCUUACCCACCAAGGGUAGAGACAGAGAUGACCUCGCCUACUGAAAUACUGGAUUGGGCAAAGCCACCAGAAGACGACUCAAGCCAACCAACUACUGAACCUGACUGGUGUCAGAAAGAAUCACCCUCUGCCUCAAGUGACACCUCUGAAUGGGAACAGCUGUUAGACUCAUUGCUGAUAGAGUAAGGGCAGUGUCAUAAACAGAGGCCCAUAUGCGCACUGUAAGAAUAGUAUUUCCUCAUUGUUGCUAGAGUAAUAGGCUCUGUCAUAACCAGAGGCCCAUAUAUGCACUGUAAGAAAAGUAUUUCCUGUUGUAAGAUAUGUCAUCACCCUUUCUGCUCUGAGGGAAUGGGAGAUGCAGCGGAUCGGGUGCGGAGAAUCAAAAGGUAUAUAAAGAGACAUUUGCCAUUACUUUGGCGCUGACUUCUUGAAUUCUGAAUUCAUUUCGACAACCAUUUGACUUUGGGUAAUUGCCACCUGACUCAAAUUACUUAAAGAUUCUAACUUGUUGGAUCUGAGAAGGGUCUCUCCGAUAUACCGUUUAACUAUUGAACAGCUGUUCUCUCGCCUGUGGCCUUGGUGCUUGUAUACUGAUGCAAAUUAUAUCCAGAGCCAGUCUUUGAAACUGCAACUCUCGAUUGAGCUCAGUACCUCGCCCUAGUUGCAUGGCACGGAUGCUGCGGUAGUUCAACGGGACUGAGAGUCACUCUAGUCCUUAAGUUGAUCUCCUGUUAAUACCUACGGUUAUCUGAAUUGACCCUGUCGCCCACGGCCUUGGUGCUUGUAUACUGAUGCAAAUUACACCCAGAGACAGUCUUUGAAACUGAACCUCUCGGUUGAGCUCAGUACCUCGCCCUAGUUGUGUGGCACAGACUCUUCGAUAUUCCAGUAGGGCAGGGAAUCACCAGCGGGUUCUCUCAUCCAGUCCAAACUUGAAUCUCUCAAUUUAGUAAAGCACCGACUUCAAGUCAACCUCUCAGCCAGUAGAAGGGAGUCGCUACUAACUAAAUUCAAAAAGAACUCUGACUGAUUGAAACUCUGCUCCUGAUCUCGUGGGUCUCCUCGUCAUCUCUCAAAGGUAAUUAAAUAACUAUUAUAAGUAUUUAAUAUAGAGAUAAGUGUUAUCAUUGUACCAGGCAUUUUAUAGAGCAUUUAAGGCAUUUGCAUGUUUUUGAUUAACGCUGUGUGUGACCCAGUAACAAAUUGUGUAUUUUGAAGUGUGUUUGAUUGUAAAAGACAAAAAACAAAGUGUUUUCAAAAAUAAACGGUAGUCUUAUUUUGUCUCGAGUAAAAGGUUCUCUCAAAGACAGUUAACGGCACGGGAGAUAACAACUCUGACACUCCCCGCUACCGGGACACUGGAAACGGGGAUCAAUGCUCUAUGACAGAAUGAGUUACCAUUAAAAGACAA
Long non-coding RNA from Oncorhynchus tshawytscha (Chinook salmon), 2241 nucleotides. NCBI's taxonomy places the organism in Eukaryota, Metazoa, Chordata, Actinopteri, Salmoniformes, Salmonidae. The record is from Ensembl.